GAGGCAGUAAUAGUUCUUAAGAACUGUAAGUCCUCAGAGGUGGGCUUUUACAAAUUGAGACAGAGCAAGACUAUUAGGAUGAAAGAGCUGGUGUAGAUAGAACAGAAUUUGUCUAGUGUCAGGGGUUCCCUGUGAGGGUGUGAGCUGCACUGUAUGGAUUCCCUGUGGGUGGGAUGGGAAAUGGCCCUGGAGGGCUGCUGUUCUGGCUGCCUAGUCAGCCCAGUUGUUUCCCUUAGAAAUGUUGGAGCUAUUGAUCUGAUGAGACCGGUGGUGGACAAUUCCUAUAGCCUUGGGGAAGUGGGAAGCCUUUAGCAUGGCCAUUAUUUGGCCUGAGUUAGAUAUGGAUACCCCUUUUGCUAUAAGGAGGCCAUGCUCUCUCCAAAUAGCAGCGUGGGACAGGAGGACAUGAAAAGCAUAUUUGGAGUGUGUAUAAACAUUUAGGGAUUGUCCUUGUGUCAAUUAAAAGGCAUAGGUGAGAGUUAUCAACUCAGCCUGUUGAUUAAUGAUGUGUGCAGGUAAUGUCUGUGCUUCUAUUUACCUCAGUAUCGGACACUAUUGCAUAGCCUGCUUUAUGGGUCCCCACAUGUGAAAAGGAGCUGCCAUCUGUGUACCAGGUAUAAGUAGCCUGAGGCAAUGUGCCCUCCUAUAUGUGUGAAGGGUGAGGUUACUGUAGAUGUAACGUUUUUAUUAAAUAAGAAACACAGAGCCAAUACAGAGAUGAAAGCCAAGAGGU
This is a non-coding RNA of Peromyscus maniculatus bairdii (prairie deer mouse), 733 nucleotides long. Lineage: Eukaryota; Metazoa; Chordata; Mammalia; Rodentia; Cricetidae. The record is from RefSeq and is a predicted model, not a curated record.